RNAcentral lists this ribosomal RNA (135 nucleotides) under uncultured eukaryote. Its description in RNAcentral is "partial 18S ribosomal RNA". It matches the Rfam family "Eukaryotic small subunit ribosomal RNA", at positions 1299 to 1458 of the family's 1831-position model. The record is from RNAcentral.
UGGUGGAGCGAUUUGUCUGCUUAAUUGCGAUAACGAACGAGACUCAGGCCUACUAACUAGAAGACAGUUCUUCGAGACUGUCAUACUUCUUAGAGGGAUAAGGGGAUUGAAGCCCCAAGAGAUUGAGCAAUAACA